GAUGAACGCUGGCGGCGUGCUCAACACAUGCAAGUCGAACGAAGCAUUUCCUUUUCUUCGGAAAAGGAAAUGACUGAGUGGCGGACGGGUGAGUAACGCGUGGGUAACCUGCCUCAUACAGGGGGAUAACAGCUGGAAACGGCUGCUAAUACCGCAUAAGCGCACAAUGCUGCAUGGCAUAGUGUGAAAAACUCUGGUAGUAUGAGAUGGACCCGCGUCUGAUUAGCUAGUUGGUAAGGUAAUGGCUUACCAAGGCGACGAUCAGUAGCCGACCUGAGAGGGUGACCGGCCACAUUGGGACUGAGACACGGCCCAAACUCCUACGGGAGGCAGCAGUGGGGAAUAUUGCACAAUGGGCGAAAGCCUGAUGCAGCGACGCCGCGUGAGCGAAGAAGUAUUUCGGUAUGUAAAGCUCUAUCAGCAGGGAAGAAAAAAUGACGGUACCUGACUAAGAAGCACCGGCUAAAUACGUGCCAGCCGCCGCGGUAA
RNAcentral lists this ribosomal RNA (489 nucleotides) under uncultured bacterium. Its description in RNAcentral is "partial 16S ribosomal RNA". It matches the Rfam family "Bacterial small subunit ribosomal RNA", at positions 28 to 523 of the family's 1533-position model. The record is from RNAcentral.